AACAACCCAGACCGCCAGCUAAGGUCCCAAAGUCAUGGUUAAGUGGGAAACGAUGUGGGAAGGCCCAGACAGCCAGGAUGUUGGCUUAGAAGCAGCCAUCAUUUAAAGAAAGCGUAAUAGCUCACUGGUCGAGUCGGCCUGCGCGGAAGAUGUAACGGGGCUAAACCAUGCACCGAAGCUGCGGCAGCGACACUGUGUGUUGUUGGGUAGGGGAGCGUUCUGUAAGCCUGUGAAGGUGUGUCGUGAGGCAUGCUGGAGGUAUCAGAAGUGCGAAUGCUGACAUAAGUAACGAUAAAGCGGGUGAAAAGCCCGCUCGCCGGAAGACCAAGGGUUCCUGUCCAACGUUAAUCGGGGCAGGGUGAGUCGACCCCUAAGGCGAGGCCGAAAGGCGUAGUCGAUGGGAAACGGGUUAAUAUUCCCGUACUUGGUGUUACUGCGAAGGGGGGACGGAGAAGGCUAUGUUGGCCGGGCGACGGUUGUCCCGGUUUAAGCGUGUAGGUGUGUGUUCCAGGUAAAUCCGGUUCACUUUAACACUGAGGCGUGACGACGAGGCACUACGGUGCUGAAGCAACAAAUGCCCUGCUUCCAGGAAAAGCCUCUAAGCAUCAGGUAACAUCAAAUCGUACCCCAAACCGACACAGGUGGUCAGGUAGAGAAUACCAAGGCGCUUGAGAGAACUCGGGUGAAGGAACUAGGCAAAAUGGUGCCGUAACUUCGGGAGAAGGCACGCUGACACGUAGGUGAAGUGAUUUACUCAUGGAGCUGAAGUCAGUCGAAGAUACCAGCUGGCUGCAACUGUUUAUUAAAAACACAGCACUGUGCAAACACGAAAGUGGACGUAUACGGUGUGACGCCUGCCCGGUGCCGGAAGGUUAAUUGAUGGGGUCAGCGCAAGCGAAGCUCCUGAUCGAAGCCCCGGUAAACGGCGGCCGUAACUAUAACGGUCCUAAGGUAGCGAAAUUCCUUGUCGGGUAAGUUCCGACCUGCACGAAUGGCGUAAUGAUGGCCAGGCUGUCUCCACCCGAGACUCAGUGAAAUUGAACUCGCUGUGAAGAUGCAGUGUACCCGCGGCAAGACGGAAAGACCCCGUGAACCUUUACUAUAGCUUGACACUGAACAUUGAGCCUUGAUGUGUAGGAUAGGUGGGAGGCUUUGAAGUGUGGACGCCAGUCUGCAUGGAGCCGACCUUGAAAUACCACCCUUUAAUGUUUGAUGUUCUAACGUGGACCCGUUACCCGGGUUGCGGACAGUGUCUGGUGGGUAGUUUGACUGGGGCGGUCUCCUCCUAAAGAGUAACGGAGGAGCACGAAGGUUGGCUAAUCCUGGUCGGACAUCAGGAGGUUAGUGCAAUGGCAUAAGCCAGCUUGACUGCGAGCGUGACGGCGCGAGCAGGUGCGAAAGCAGGUCAUAGUGAUCCGGUGGUUCUGAAUGGAAGGGCCAUCGCUCAACGGAUAAAAGGUACUCCGGGGAUAACAGGCUGAUACCGCCCAAGAGUUCAUAUCGACGGCGGUGUUUGGCACCUCGAUGUCGGCUCAUCACAUCCUGGGGCUGAAGUAGGUCCCAAGGGUAUGGCUGUUCGCCAUUUAAAGUGGUACGCGAGCUGGGUUUAGAACGUCGUGAGACAGUUCGGUCCCUAUCUGCCGUGGGCGCUGGAGAACUGAGGGGGGCUGCUCCUAGUACGAGAGGACCGGAGUGGACGCAUCACUGGUGUUCGGGUUGUCAUGCCAAUGGCACUGCCCGGUAGCUAAAUGCGGAAGAGAUAAGUGCUGAAAGCAUCUAAGCACGAAACUUGCCCCGA
This 1798-nucleotide ribosomal RNA is filed under the name Salmonella enterica. RNAcentral describes it as "partial 23S ribosomal RNA". It matches the Rfam family "Bacterial large subunit ribosomal RNA", at positions 1021 to 2802 of the family's 2925-position model. Lineage: Bacteria; Pseudomonadati; Pseudomonadota; Gammaproteobacteria; Enterobacterales; Enterobacteriaceae. RNAcentral also lists the same sequence under 1 other name. The record is from RNAcentral.